GACUUCCGGAGACGGAUUUCUUCCAGCAAUGGACCUGCACACAGGUGCUGCAUGGCUGUCGUCAGCUCGUGUCGUGAGAUGUUGGGUUAAGUCCCGCAACGAGCGCAACCCUCGCCUUUAGUUGCCAUCAUUCAGUUGGGCACUCUAAAGGGACUGCCGGUGAUAAGCCGCGAGGAAGGUGGGGAUGACGUCAAGUCCUCAUGGCCCUUACGGGCUGGGCUACACACGUGCUACAAUGGCGGUGACAAUGGGAUGCGAGCCUGCGAGGGUGAGCAAAUCUCCAAAAGCCGUCUCAGUUCGGAUUGCACUCUGCAACUCGAGUGCAUGAAGUUGGAAUCGCUAGUAAUCGUGGAUCAGCAUGCCACGGUGAAUACGUUCCCGGG
This 383-nucleotide ribosomal RNA is filed under the name Azorhizobium sp. VA39. RNAcentral describes it as "bacterial SSU rRNA". It matches the Rfam family "Bacterial small subunit ribosomal RNA", at positions 995 to 1378 of the family's 1533-position model. Lineage: Bacteria; Pseudomonadati; Pseudomonadota; Alphaproteobacteria; Hyphomicrobiales; Xanthobacteraceae. The record is from RNAcentral.